This 281-nucleotide ribosomal RNA is filed under the name Myrella challengeriana. Its description in RNAcentral is "partial large subunit ribosomal RNA". It matches the Rfam family "Archaeal large subunit ribosomal RNA", at positions 1921 to 2354 of the family's 2987-position model. Lineage: Eukaryota; Metazoa; Mollusca; Gastropoda; Nudibranchia; Tritoniidae. The record is from RNAcentral.
AGCCAUAAGAAUACAUUUAUGGUUAAACCUGCCCAAUGUGAGAGAUGAAUGGCCGCGGUACUCUGACCGUGCUAAGGUAGCGUAAUCAGUUGGCUUUUAAAUGGAGUCAGGAAUGAAUGGAUUAACCGGGUUUAGCUGUCUCUGAAUUAUUAUUUUGAAUUUACUGUCUAAGUGAAAAAGCUUAGAAAUAGAAAAGGGACGAGAAGACCCUUAGAAUUUUUUCUAAGAUAAGUGUGCUAUCGAGACCCUUACUUCUAAUGAUUUUAUUGGGGCGAUAAAGA